This 494-nucleotide ribosomal RNA is filed under the name Streptococcus anginosus. RNAcentral's name for it is "bacterial SSU rRNA". It matches the Rfam family "Bacterial small subunit ribosomal RNA", at positions 28 to 494 of the family's 1533-position model. Lineage: Bacteria; Bacillati; Bacillota; Bacilli; Lactobacillales; Streptococcaceae. The record is from RNAcentral.
GACGAACGCUGGCGGCGUGCCUAAUACAUGCAAGUAGGACGCACAGUUUAUACCGUAGCUUGCUACACCAUAGACUGUGAGUUGCGAACGGGUGAGUAACGCGUAGGUAACCUGCCUAUUAGAGGGGGAUAACUAUUGGAAACGAUAGCUAAUACCGCAUAACAGUAUGUAACACAUGUUAGAUGCUUGAAAGAUGCAAUUGCAUCGCUAGUAGAUGGACCUGCGUUGUAUUAGCUAGUAGGUAGGGUAAUGGCCUACCUAGGCGACGAUACAUAGCCGACCUGAGAGGGUGAUCGGCCACACUGGGACUGAGACACGGCCCAGACUCCUACGGGAGGCAGCAGUAGGGAAUCUUCGGCAAUGGGGGGAACCCUGACCGAGCAACGCCGCGUGAGUGAAGAAGGUUUUCGGAUCGUAAAGCUCUGUUGUUAAGGAAGAACGAGUGUGAGAAUGGAAAGUUCAUACUGUGACCGGUACUAAACCAGAAAAGGGAC